UUAAAGGCCCUUUUCAGGGCCACGCACAAAUUGAUAUAUAUAUAU
Molecule: non-coding RNA, 45 nt
Organism: Schistosoma margrebowiei
Lineage: Eukaryota; Metazoa; Platyhelminthes; Trematoda; Strigeidida; Schistosomatidae
Source: Rfam